AGGUAUCAGAAGUGCGAAUGCUGACAUAAGUAACGAUAAAGCGGGUGAAAAGCCCGCUCGCCGGAAGACCAAGGGUUCCUGUCCAACGUUAAUCGGGGCAGGGUGAGUCGACCCCUAAGGCGAGGCCGAAAGGCGUAGUCGAUGGGAAACGGGUUAAUAUUCCCGUACUUGGUGUUACUGCGAAGGGGGGACGGAGAAGGCUAUGUUGGCCGGGCGACGGUUGUCCCGGUUUAAGCGUGUAGGUGUGUGUUCCAGGUAAAUCCGGUUCACUUUAACACUGAGGCGUGACGACGAGGCACUACGGUGCUGAAGCAACAAAUGCCCUGCUUCCAGGAAAAGCCUCUAAGCAUCAGGUAACAUCAAAUCGUACCCCAAACCGACACAGGUGGUCAGGUAGAGAAUACCAAGGCGCUUGAGAGAACUCGGGUGAAGGAACUAGGCAAAAUGGUGCCGUAACUUCGGGAGAAGGCACGCUGACACGUAGGUGAAGUGAUUUACUCAUGGAGCUGAAGUCAGUCGAAGAUACCAGCUGGCUGCAACUGUUUAUUAAAAACACAGCACUGUGCAAACACGAAAGUGGACGUAUACGGUGUGACGCCUGCCCGGUGCCGGAAGGUUAAUUGAUGGGGUCAGCGCAAGCGAAGCUCCUGAUCGAAGCCCCGGUAAACGGCGGCCGUAACUAUAACGGUCCUAAGGUAGCGAAAUUCCUUGUCGGGUAAGUUCCGACCUGCACGAAUGGCGUAAUGAUGGCCAGGCUGUCUCCACCCGAGACUCAGUGAAAUUGAACUCGCUGUGAAGAUGCAGUGUACCCGCGGCAAGACGGAAAGACCCCGUGAACCUUUACUAUAGCUUGACACUGAACAUUGAGCCUUGAUGUGUAGGAUAGGUGGGAGGCUUUGAAGUGUGGACGCCAGUCUGCAUGGAGCCGACCUUGAAAUACCACCCUUUAAUGUUUGAUGUUCUAACGUGGACCCGUUACCCGGGUUGCGGACAGUGUCUGGUGGGUAGUUUGACUGGGGCGGUCUCCUCCUAAAGAGUAACGGAGGAGCACGAAGGUUGGCUAAUCCUGGUCGGACAUCAGGAGGUUAGUGCAAUGGCAUAAGCCAGCUUGACUGCGAGCGUGACGGCGCGAGCAGGUGCGAAAGCAGGUCAUAGUGAUCCGGUGGUUCUGAAUGGAAGGGCCAUCGCUCAACGGAUAAAAGGUACUCCGGGGAUAACAGGCUGAUACCGCCCAAGAGUUCAUAUCGACGGCGGUGUUUGGCACCUCGAUGUCGGCUCAUCACAUCCUGGGGCUGAAGUAGGUCCCAAGGGUAUGGCUGUUCGCCAUUUAAAGUGGUACGCGAGCUGGGUUUAGAACGUCGUGAGACAGUUCGGUCCCUAUCUGCCGUGGGCGCUGGAGAACUGAGGGGGGCUGCUCCUAGUACGAGAGGACCGGAGUGGACGCAUCACUGGUGUUCGGGUUGUCAUGCCAAUGGCACUGCCCGGUAGCUAAAUGCGGAAGAGAUAAGUGCUGAAAGCAUCUAAGCACGAAACUUGCCCCGA
This 1542-nucleotide ribosomal RNA is filed under the name Salmonella enterica subsp. enterica serovar Hadar. RNAcentral's name for it is "partial 23S ribosomal RNA". It matches the Rfam family "Bacterial large subunit ribosomal RNA", at positions 1277 to 2802 of the family's 2925-position model. Lineage: Bacteria; Pseudomonadati; Pseudomonadota; Gammaproteobacteria; Enterobacterales; Enterobacteriaceae. The record is from RNAcentral.